This 1723-nucleotide ribosomal RNA is filed under the name Photorhabdus luminescens NBAII H75HRPL105. RNAcentral's name for it is "bacterial LSU rRNA". It matches the Rfam family "Bacterial large subunit ribosomal RNA", at positions 1225 to 2925 of the family's 2925-position model. The record is from RNAcentral. Lineage: Bacteria; Pseudomonadati; Pseudomonadota; Gammaproteobacteria; Enterobacterales; Morganellaceae.
UGGGUAGGGGAGCGUUCUGUAAGCCGUUGAAGGUGGCGCUGUGAGGCCCGCUGGAGGUAUCAGAAGUGCGAAUGCUGACAUAAGUAACGAUAAAGCGGGUGAAAAACCCGCUCGCCGGAAGACCAAGGGUUCCUGUCCAACGUUAAUCGGGGCAGGGUGAGUCGACCCCUAAGGCGAGGCCGAACGGCGUAGCUGAUGGGAAACAGGUUAAUAUUCCUGUACUGAAUGUGACUGCGAAGGGGGGACGGAGAAGGCUAGGCCAUCCGGGCGACGGUCGUCCCGGUUUAAGCGUGUAGGUGGGAGGAGCAGGCAAAUCCGCUCUUCUUUAACACUGAGGCGUGAUGACGAGCUGCUACGGCAGUGAAGUGGUUGAUGCCCGGCUUCCAGGAAAAGCCUCUAAGCAUCAGGUCAUAUUGAAUCGUACCCCAAACCGACACAGGUGGUCAGGUAGAGCAUACUCAGGCGCUUGAGAGAACUCGGGUGAAGGAACUAGGCAAAAUGGUGCCGUAACUUCGGGAGAAGGCACGCUGGCAGUAGGUGAAGGAGUUUGCCUCCGGAGCCGAAGCCAGUCGCAGAGACCAGCUGGCUGCAACUGUUUAUUAAAAACACAGCACUGUGCAAACACGUAAGUGGACGUAUACGGUGUGACGCCUGCCCGGUGCUGGAAGGUUAAUUGAUGGGGUUAGCCGCAAGGCGACGCUCUUGAUCGAAGCCCCAGUAAACGGCGGCCGUAACUAUAACGGUCCUAAGGUAGCGAAAUUCCUUGUCGGGUAAGUUCCGACCUGCACGAAUGGCGUAAUGAUGGCCAGGCUGUCUCCACCCGAGACUCAGUGAAAUUGAACUCGCUGUGAAGAUGCAGUGUCCCCGCGGCAAGACGGAAAGACCCCGUGAACCUUUACUAUAGCUUGACACUGAACAUGGAGCCUUGAUGUGUAGGAUAGGUGGGAGGCCUGGAAGUGCGGACGCCAGUCCGCAUGGAGCCAUCCUUGAAAUACCACCCUUGAAUGUUCGAUGUUCUCACUUAAGCCCGUCAUCCGGGCUGAGGACAGUGUCUGGCGGGUAGUUUGACUGGGGCGGUCUCCUCCCAAAGGGUAACGGAGGAGCACGAAGGUUGGCUAAUCACGGUCGGACAUCGUGAGGUUAGUGCAAAGGCAUAAGCCAGCUUAACUGCGAGAGUGACGGCUCGAGCAGGUACGAAAGUAGGUCUUAGUGAUCCGGUGGUUCUGCAUGGAAGGGCCAUCGCUCAACGGAUAAAAGGUACUCCGGGGAUAACAGGCUGAUACCGCCCAAGAGUUCAUAUCGACGGCGGUGUUUGGCACCUCGAUGUCGGCUCAUCACAUCCUGGGGCUGAAGUAGGUCCCAAGGGUAUGGCUGUUCGCCAUUUAAAGUGGUACGCGAGCUGGGUUUAGAACGUCGUGAGACAGUUCGGUCCCUAUCUGCCGUGGGCGCAGGAAGAUUGAAAGGGGCUGCUCCUAGUACGAGAGGACCGGAGUGGACGCACCGCUGGUGUACGGGUUGUCAUGCCAAUGGCAUCGCCCGGUAGCUAAGUGCGGGAGAGAUAACCGCUGAAAGCAUCUAAGCGGGAAACUUGCCUUGAGAUGAGUCUUCCCUUGACUUAGAGUCACGGAAGGAACGUUUAAGACGAAGACGUGGAUAGGCUGGGUGUGUAAGCGCAGCGAUGCAUUGAGCUGACCAGUACUAAUGAACCGAGCGGCUUAACCUU